This 465-nucleotide ribosomal RNA is filed under the name uncultured bacterium. Its description in RNAcentral is "partial 16S ribosomal RNA". It matches the Rfam family "Bacterial small subunit ribosomal RNA", at positions 28 to 507 of the family's 1533-position model. The record is from RNAcentral.
GACGAACGCUGGCGGCGUGCUUAACACAUGCAAGUCGAACGGAAAGGCCCCAGCUUGCUGGGGUACUCGAGUGGCGAACGGGUGAGUAACACGUGGGUGAUCUGCCCUGCACUCUGGGAUAAGCCUGGGAAACUGGGUCUAAUACCGGAUAGGACCGUGCUUUAGUGUGUGCGGUGGAAAGUUUUUCGGUGCAGGAUGAGCCCGCGGCCUAUCAGCUUGUUGGUGGGGUAAUGGCCUACCGAGGCGGCGACGGGUAGCCGGCCUGAGAGGGUGUACGGCCACAUUGGGACUGAGACACGGCCCAGACUCCUACGGGAGGCAGCAGUGGGGAAUAUUGCACAAUGGGCGCAAGCCUGAUGCAGCGACGCCGCGUGGGGGAUGACGGCCUUCGGGUUGUAAACCCCUUUCGGCAGGGACGAAGCUUUUGUGACGGUACCUGCAUAAGAAGCACCGGCUAACUACGUG